AUUGAACGCUGGCGGCAUGCUUUACACAUGCAAGUCGAGCGGUAACAGGGUGCUUGCACUGCUGACGAGUGGCGAACGGGUGAGUAAUGCGUCGGAACGUGCCGAGUAGUGGGGGAUAACGCAGCGAAAGUUGUGCUAAUACCGCAUACGUACUGAGGUAGAAAGUGGGGGGCCUUCGGGCCUCACGCUAUUCGAGCGGCCGACGUCUGAUUAGCUAGUAGGUGAGGUAAAGGCUCACCUAGGCGACGAUCAGUAGCGGGUCUGAGAGGAUGAGCCGCCACACUGGGACUGAGACACGGCCCAGACUCCUACGGUAGGCAGCAGGGGGGAAUUUUGGACAAUGGGCGAAAGCCCGAUCCAGCCAUGCCGCGUGUCUGAAGAAGGCCUUCGGGUUGUAAAGGACUUUUGUCAGGGAGGAAAUCCCUAGUGCUAAUAACACUGGGGGUUGACAGUACCUGAAGAAUAAGCACCGGCUAACUACGUGCCAGCCGCCGCAGUAA
Molecule: ribosomal RNA, 500 nt
Filed under: uncultured bacterium
Lineage: Bacteria
Description: partial 16S ribosomal RNA
Rfam family: Bacterial small subunit ribosomal RNA
Source: RNAcentral